RNAcentral lists this transfer RNA (70 nucleotides) under Vibrio vulnificus. RNAcentral describes it as "tRNA-Met". It matches the Rfam family "tRNA". From Rfam's summary of the family: Transfer RNA (tRNA) molecules are approximately 80 nucleotides in length. Their secondary structure includes four short double-helical elements and three loops (D, anti-codon, and T loops). The record is from RNAcentral. Lineage: Bacteria; Pseudomonadati; Pseudomonadota; Gammaproteobacteria; Vibrionales; Vibrionaceae.
GCCCCUUAGCUCAGUGGUUAGAGCAGUCGACUCAUAAUCGAUUGGUCCCCAGUUCAAGUCUGGGAGGGGC